GUGCUUGCUUUGGCAGCACAUAUACUAAAACUGGAAUGAUACAGAGAAGAUUCGCAUGGCCCUUGUGUAAGGAUGACACGCAAAUUCAUGAGGCGUUCCAUUUUAAA
Non-coding RNA from Podarcis lilfordi (Lilford's wall lizard), 107 nucleotides. Lineage: Eukaryota; Metazoa; Chordata; Lepidosauria; Squamata; Lacertidae. The record is from the annotation of a GenBank genome assembly.